GUGCAGCCAAUUUAACCUACUGUGUACUGUGCCUAUUUGGGCUCCAUGUAUAACGUCUGCAGACAGCCAACAGGCUCCUCUGUAGCGUAUGCAGCCAGUGAGUUGUAUGGGCUAUUCAAAGGACCUUGGAGACAGUC
Small nucleolar RNA from Sorex araneus (European shrew), 137 nucleotides. RefSeq annotates it as small nucleolar RNA SNORA70. NCBI's taxonomy places the organism in Eukaryota, Metazoa, Chordata, Mammalia, Eulipotyphla, Soricidae. The record is from RefSeq and is a predicted model, not a curated record. The transcript has a single exon.